GCGGCGUGCUUAACACAUGCAAGUCGAACGACCCUCUUGGUUUUGAUUCCUUCGGGAUGAAGAAUCUUGUGACUGAGUGGCGGACGGGUGAGUAACGCGUGGGUAACCUGCCUCAUACAGGGGGAUAACAGCUGGAAACGGCUGCUAAUACCGCAUAACCCGCUAGGGCCACAUGGCCCGGACGGAAAAGAUUUUAUCGGUAUGAGAUGGACCCGCGUCUGAUUAGCUAGUUGGAGGGGUAACGGCCCACCAAGGCGACGAUCAGUAGCCGACUUGAGAGAGUGAUCGGCCACAUUGGGACUGAGACACGGCCCAAACUCCUACGGGAGGCAGCAGUGGGGAAUAUUGCACAAUGGGGGAAACCCUGAUGCAGCGACGCCGUGUGAGUGAAGAAGUAUUUCGGUAUGUAAAGCUCUAUCAGCAGGGAAGAUAAUGACGGUACCUGACUAAGAAGCCCCGGCUAACUACGUGCCAGCAGCCGCGGUAAUACGUAGGGGGCAAGCGUUUUCCGGAUUUACUGGGUGUAAAGGGAGCGUAAGUGGCGUGGCAAGUCACAAUUGAAAGCCCGGGGCUCACCCCGGGACUGCUUUUGAAACUGUCAUGCUGGAGUGCAGGAAAGGUAAUCGGAAUUCCUAGUGUAGCGAGGGAAAAAGCGUAAAUAUACGGAGGACCACCAGUGGCGAAGGCGGCUUACUGGACUGUAACUGAACACUGAGGCUCGAAAGCGUGGGGAGCAAACAAGGAUUAGAUACCCUGGUAGUCCACGCCGUAAACAAUGAAUACUAGGUGUCGGGGCCGUAUGGGCUUCGGUGCCGUAGCUAACGCAAUAAGUAUUCCACCUGGGGAGUACGUUCGCAAGAAUGAAACUCAAAGGAAUUUGACGGGGACCCGCACAAGCGGUGGAGCAUGUGGUUUAAUUCGAAGCAACGCGAAGAACCUUACCAAGCCUUGACAUCCCAAUGACCGUCCGGUAAUGCGGACUUUCCUUCGGGACAUUGGUGACAGGUGGUGCAUGGUUGUCGUCAGCUCGUGUCGUGAGAUGUUGGGUUAAGUCCCGCAACGAGCGCAACCCCUAUCUUUAGUAGCCAGCGGUUUGGCCGGGCACUCUGGAGAGACUGCCAGGGAUAACCUGGAGGAAGGUGGGGAUGACGUCAAAUCAUCAUGCCCCUUAUGGCUUGGGCUACACACGUGCUACAAUGACGGUUACAAAGUGAAGCAGCCUCGUGAGAGUGAGCAAAACACAAAAAGGUCGUCUCAGUUCGGAUUGUAGUCUGCAACUCGACUACAUGAAGCUGGAAUCGCUAGUAAUCAAAAAUCAGAAUGUCGCGGUGAAUACGUUCCCGG
This 1344-nucleotide ribosomal RNA is filed under the name uncultured bacterium. RNAcentral describes it as "bacterial SSU rRNA". It matches the Rfam family "Bacterial small subunit ribosomal RNA", at positions 39 to 1377 of the family's 1533-position model. The record is from RNAcentral.